UAAGCGGAGGAGAAGAAACUAACCAGGAUUUCCCUAGUAACGGCGAGCGAACCGGAAAGAGCCCAGCUUGAAAAUCGUGGUGCCUCGCACCUCGAGUUGUAGUCUGGAGAUUCAUCCUCUGCAGCGGACCGGACCCAAGUUCCCUGGAAAGGGACGUCGGAGAGGGUGACAGCCCCGUCGAGUCCGGACCCUGCUGCUCCACGAGGUGAAGUCUGCGAGUCGAGCUGUUUGGGAAUGCAGCUCUAAGUGGGUGGUAAAUUCCAUCCAAGGCUAAAUAUUGGCAAGAGACCGAUAGCGAACAAGUACCGCGAGGGAAAGAUGAAAAGGACUUUGAAAAGAGAGUUAAAAAGUGCUUGAAAUUGCUGGGAGGGAAGCGAAUGGAAGCUGCGGGUGCGCCCCGGUUGGAUGUGGAACGGCCCCCCCAAAGGGGCUGGUCCGCCGCUCAACGCGGGGCGCUGGUCAGCGUGGGCCAUCGCGGCGGGACAAGAGCGGGGUGUAGUUCCCCGCCUAUGCCGUUGCGGUGGCCGAGGAACGAAGCGCGCGGGGCCUCCGGGCCCCGUGGGACCCGUCCCAACUGCGCGCUCGGGACGCUGGCGUAUUGAGCUCUUCAUCCGACCCGUCUUGAAACACGGACCAAGGAGUCUAACAUGUAUGCGAGCCGGUGGGCGGCAAACCCAUUGAGGCGCAAGUAAACUGACAGGUGGGACCCCACUAAAAAGGGAGCACCAUCGACCGACCGUGAUCUUCUGUGAAAGGUUUGAGUGUGAGCAUACCUGUUGGGACCCGAAAGAUGGUGAACUAUGCCUGAGCAGGGCGAAGCCAGAGGAAACUCUGGUGGAGGCUCGUAGCGAUACUGACGUGCAAAUCGUUCGUCAGACUUGGGUAUAGGGGCGAAAGACUAAUCGAACCAUCUAGUAGCUGGUUCCCUCCGAAGUUUCCCUCAGGAUAGCUGGAGCUCGUGUAAGAGUUUUAUCAGGUAAAGCGAAUGAUUAGAGGCAUCGGGGGUGUAACACCCUCGACCUAUUCUCAAACUUUAAAUAGGUAAGCCGCCGGGGUUGCUUGGUUGAACCCCGGCACAGAAUGAGAGCUCCAAGUGGGCCA
This 1101-nucleotide ribosomal RNA is filed under the name Campylostelium sp. 'angustifolium'. RNAcentral's name for it is "eukaryotic LSU rRNA". It matches the Rfam family "Eukaryotic large subunit ribosomal RNA", at positions 47 to 1133 of the family's 3401-position model. The record is from RNAcentral. Lineage: Eukaryota; Viridiplantae; Streptophyta; Bryopsida; Grimmiales; Ptychomitriaceae.